UUAAGCGACUAAGCGUACACGGUGGAUGCCCUGGCAGUCAGAGGCGAUGAAGGACGUGCUAAUCUGCGAUAAGCGUCGGUAAGGUGAUAUGAACCGUUAUAACCGGCGAUUUCCGAAUGGGGAAACCCAGUGUGUUUCGACACACUAUCAUUAACUGAAUCCAUAGGUUAAUGAGGCGAACCGGGGGAACUGAAACAUCUAAGUACCCCGAGGAAAAGAAAUCAACCGAGAUUCCCCCAGUAGCGGCGAGCGAACGGGGAGCAGCCCAGAGCCUGAAUCAGUAUGUGUGUUAGUGGAAGCGUCUGGAAAGGCGCGCGAUACAGGGUGACAGCCCCGUACACAAAAAUGCACAUGCUGUGAGCUCGAUGAGUAGGGCGGGACACGUGGUAUCCUGUCUGAAUAUGGGGGGACCAUCCUCCAAGGCUAAAUACUCCUGACUGACCGAUAGUGAACCAGUACCGUGAGGGAAAGGCGAAAAGAACCCCGGCGAGGGGAGUGAAAAAGAACCUGAAACCGUGUACGUACAAGCAGUGGGAGCACGCUUAGGCGUGUGACUGCGUACCUUUUGUAUAAUGGGUCAGCGACUUAUAUUCUGUAGCAAGGUUAACCGAAUAGGGGAGCCGAAGGGAAACCGAGUCUUAACUGGGCGUUAAGUUGCAGGGUAUAGACCCGAAACCCGGUGAUCUAGCCAUGGGCAGGUUGAAGGUUGGGUAACACUAACUGGAGGACCGAACCGACUAAUGUUGAAAAAUUAGCGGAUGACUUGUGGCUGGGGGUGAAAGGCCAAUCAAACCGGGAGAUAGCUGGUUCUCCCCGAAAGCUAUUUAGGUAGCGCCUCGUGAAUUCAUCUCCGGGGGUAGAGCACUGUUUCGGCAAGGGGGUCAUCCCGACUUACCAACCCGAUGCAAACUGCGAAUACCGGAGAAUGUUAUCACGGGAGACACACGGCGGGUGCUAACGUCCGUCGUGAAGAGGGAAACAACCCAGACCGCCAGCUAAGGUCCCAAAGUCAUGGUUAAGUGGGAAACGAUGUGGGAAGGCCCAGACAGCCAGGAUGUUGGCUUAGAAGCAGCCAUCAUUUAAAGAAAGCGUAAUAGCUCACUGGUCGAGUCGGCCUGCGCGGAAGAUGUAACGGGGCUAAACCAUGCACCGAAGCUGCGGCAGCGACACUGAUGUGUUGUUGGGUAGGGGAGCGUUCUGUAAGCCUGUGAAGGUGUGCUGUGAGGCAUGCUGGAGGUAUCAGAAGUGCGAAUGCUGACAUAAGUAACGAUAAAGCGGGUGAAAAGCCCGCUCGCCGGAAGACCAAGGGUUCCUGUCCAACGUUAAUCGGGGCAGGGUGAGUCGACCCCUAAGGCGAGGCCGAAAGGCGUAGUCGAUGGGAAACAGGUUAAUAUUCCUGUACUUGGUGUUACUGCGAAGGGGGGACGGAGAAGGCUAUGUUGGCCGGGCGACGGUUGUCCCGGUUUAAGCGUGUAGGCUGGUUUUCCAGGCAAAUCCGGAAAAUCAAGGCUGAGGCGUGAUGACGAGGCACUACGGUGCUGAAGCAACAAAUGCCCUGCUUCCAGGAAAAGCCUCUAAGCAUCAGGUAACAUCAAAUCGUACCCCAAACCGACACAGGUGGUCAGGUAGAGAAUACCAAGGCGCUUGAGAGAACUCGGGUGAAGGAACUAGGCAAAAUGGUGCCGUAACUUCGGGAGAAGGCACGCUGAUAUGUAGGUGAAGCGACUUGCUCGUGGAGCUGAAAUCAGUCGAAGAUACCAGCUGGCUGCAACUGUUUAUUAAAAACACAGCACUGUGCAAACACGAAAGUGGACGUAUACGGUGUGACGCCUGCCCGGUGCCGGAAGGUUAAUUGAUGGGGUCAGCGCAAGCGAAGCUCUUGAUCGAAGCCCCGGUAAACGGCGGCCGUAACUAUAACGGUCCUAAGGUAGCGAAAUUCCUUGUCGGGUAAGUUCCGACCUGCACGAAUGGCGUAAUGAUGGCCAGGCUGUCUCCACCCGAGACUCAGUGAAAUUGAACUCGCUGUGAAGAUGCAGUGUACCCGCGGCAAGACGGAAAGACCCCGUGAACCUUUACUAUAGCUUGACACUGAACAUUGAGCCUUGAUGUGUAGGAUAGGUGGGAGGCUUUGAAGUGUGGACGCCAGUCUGCAUGGAGCCGACCUUGAAAUACCACCCUUUAAUGUUUGAUGUUCUAACGUGGACCCGUGAUCCGGGUUGCGGACAGUGUCUGGUGGGUAGUUUGACUGGGGCGGUCUCCUCCUAAAGAGUAACGGAGGAGCACGAAGGUUGGCUAAUCCUGGUCGGACAUCAGGAGGUUAGUGCAAUGGCAUAAGCCAGCUUGACUGCGAGCGUGACGGCGCGAGCAGGUGCGAAAGCAGGUCAUAGUGAUCCGGUGGUUCUGAAUGGAAGGGCCAUCGCUCAACGGAUAAAAGGUACUCCGGGGAUAACAGGCUGAUACCGCCCAAGAGUUCAUAUCGACGGCGGUGUUUGGCACCUCGAUGUCGGCUCAUCACAUCCUGGGGCUGAAGUAGGUCCCAAGGGUAUGGCUGUUCGCCAUUUAAAGUGGUACGCGAGCUGGGUUUAGAACGUCGUGAGACAGUUCGGUCCCUAUCUGCCGUGGGCGCUGGAGAACUGAGGGGGGCUGCUCCUAGUACGAGAGGACCGGAGUGGACGCAUCACUGGUGUUCGGGUUGUCAUGCCAAUGGCACUGCCCGGUAGCUAAAUGCGGAAGAGAUAAGUGCUGAAAGCAUCUAAGCACGAAACUUGCCCCGAGAUGAGUUCUCCCUGACUCCUUGAGAGUCCUGAAGGAACGUUGAAGACGACGACGUUGAUAGGCCGGGUGUGUAAGCGCAGCGAUGCGUUGAGCUAACCGGUACUAAUGAACCGUGAGGCUUAACCUU
This 2902-nucleotide ribosomal RNA is filed under the name Escherichia coli. Its description in RNAcentral is "bacterial LSU rRNA". It matches the Rfam family "Bacterial large subunit ribosomal RNA". The record is from RNAcentral. Lineage: Bacteria; Pseudomonadati; Pseudomonadota; Gammaproteobacteria; Enterobacterales; Enterobacteriaceae.